AAAAAUAUAAAAAAUUAUGUAUUUAAAAAAAUAUAAAAGUUCUGUAUAUUCACUCACUCUAUUCGAAAGGUUAAUGGUAAAUUCAAACUCCUAUUCCAUUGUCGUUCCAAUAUCAUCAUCACGCCGUUCAAUAUUUUUUGAAUUAGAUAUACCUAAUUCAUUUUCUAUCAAUAUUUUUAAUUGAAUAUAAAAAUUCUGGAAGUUGCCAGGCCCUCGAAAAAUGAAGGGACCUAGGCGCGCCAGUAAUUGAUAAAAGCGCCAUUGCCCAGCUUAUCCGUGUAGCACCCAUGCCUAUUACAUAGGCAUUGGUAUGGAUAAUCGGCCCGGAAACGCUUCGGCUUUUAAUCUAGAGAACCCGGAUCGAAUCCAGACCAGAAAAGUACUGCCCGAUCUCUUCUAAAGGUAUUGGUCACUUAUUAAUCGACGAAUAUUAGAAGGUGGCGUAAUAAAUGGUCGAGGCAGCCAAGCAAAUUUACCAAUAAUUCAAUUCGAUGUACUUUUUCAAUAAUUUUAUUGGUAAAAUCAUAAUUUAGUAGUAAUGUACUGUAUAUAUAUAUAUAUUUUUGUCGGAUGGUCGAAUGUUUCAUUAAAUUUUAUUAUGGCUACAGAUUCUAUCCUUACCAAAAUAUAUCCGAUCUAACCAUUCAAUUCCGACGAUUUUUUCGAUUCCGGGAUUCAGGAUUAGCGAAUGAAAGAAAUCCCGGAAUUUCAUUUGCUAAUCCUGAAUCUAAGUGGGUUUCUAUUAUAUUUUUCAUUUCAUCCAAAAGAUGUUAUCGACAUCUAUCACAAAAACAUCCCGGAAUUUUUUUUUAAUUAAAAUAAUUGUAAACAAUCAUUUACCGUUUCUUUGGCAUAAUUCCUCCCUCUUUUUGACAUUUUUCAUUAAUACGUCCAAGUACGGACGUAGAAAAUUAGAUCAAUUUUAUUAUACGAAACUAAUAUAAGCAAUGCCGAAUUAGUUCAUUUUUUGGGGGGCCAAUAUAGAUAUAUUCUAGCUCGUCAACCCAAUAGAUGAUGUAGGGUUGUCAACAUCAGUAAGUGACGGGAUCGACAGGCCCGGACUGCACAAUAAAUCAAAGAACUCGAACUCGGAUCCUCCAGGUCGAAGCAUUUCCAUGUGGCUGAUCCGGCCGACGAAUUAACUCCAUUAUAACAGGAAGAUUAGGAAAAUUCAAUAGCGAAAAAUAAGACACCUCUUAUCGUCAACUUUUGUUUCAGUUCAAUAUAAGACUCAUCGAUGUACUGUACAUAUCUAUGUUAAGACUUAAAAGAUCUAAGGCUGUGUUCGAAAUAUCGAAACUACUAUUGCCGAGACUACUACUGAUAAGACUACUAACGGCCGUAUUUACCAUCUCGAGUUGUUGGAAGAGUUAGAGUUACAUGAGGAGUUAUAUCUAAAUUCGUAUUCGCCAACUUCGUUCCGAGUCAUAUGAAACAACCUCGAGUCGAAUGAACUACCCUAGCUG
This 1466-nucleotide long non-coding RNA is filed under the name Androctonus crassicauda. The record is from RNAcentral. Lineage: Eukaryota; Metazoa; Arthropoda; Arachnida; Scorpiones; Buthidae.